This 784-nucleotide ribosomal RNA is filed under the name uncultured bacterium. Its description in RNAcentral is "SSU rRNA". It matches the Rfam family "Bacterial small subunit ribosomal RNA", at positions 70 to 853 of the family's 1533-position model. The record is from RNAcentral.
CACAGUGUAGCAAUACAUGGGUGGCGACCGGCAAACGGGUGCGGAACACGUACGCAACCUUCCUUCAGGCGGGGAAUAGCCCAGAGAAAUUUGGAUUAAUACCCCAUAAUAUUUUGAGAUGGCAUCAUCUUAUUAUUAAAGCUACGGCACCUGGAGAUGGGCGUGCGGCUGAUUAGGUAGUUGGCGGGGUAAUGGCCCACCAAGCCUACGAUCAGUAGCUGAUGUGAGAGCAUGAUCAGCCACACGGGCACUGAGACACGGGCCCGACUCCUACGGGAGGCAGCAGUAAGGAAUAUUGGUCAAUGGACGCGAGUCUGAACCAGCCAUGCCGCGUGGAGGAUGAAGGUCCUCUGGAUUGUAAACUUCUUUUAUCUGGGACGAAAAAAGGGUUUUCUAACUCGUCUGACGGUACCAGAUGAAUAAGCACCGGCUAACUCCGUGCCAGCAGCCGCGGUAAUACGGAGGGUGCAAGCGUUAUCCGGAUUCACUGGGUUUAAAGGGUGCGUAGGCGGGCAUUUAAGUCAGUGGUGAAAUACCUGAGCUUAACUUGGGAACUGCCAUUGAUACUAUUUGUCUUGAAUGUCGUGGAGGUUAGCGGAAUAUGUCAUGUAGCGGUGAAAUGCUUAGAUAUGACAUAGAACACCUAUUGCGAAGGCAGCUAACUACGCGAAUAUUGACGCUGAGGCACGAAAGCGUGGGGAUCAAACAGGAUUAGAUACCCUGGUAGUCCACGCCCUAAACGGUGAUUACUCGACAUUAGCGAUACACUGUUAGUGUCUGAGCG